Molecule: transfer RNA, 70 nt
Filed under: Loxodonta africana (African savanna elephant)
Lineage: Eukaryota; Metazoa; Chordata; Mammalia; Proboscidea; Elephantidae
Rfam family: tRNA
About the family: Transfer RNA (tRNA) molecules are approximately 80 nucleotides in length. Their secondary structure includes four short double-helical elements and three loops (D, anti-codon, and T loops).
Source: Rfam by way of RNAcentral
GCAUUGGUGAUUCAGUGGUAGAAUUCUUGCCUUCCAUGCAUGAGACCUGGUUCAAUUUCCGGCCAAUGCA